Molecule: long non-coding RNA, 325 nt
Organism: Photinus pyralis (common eastern firefly)
Lineage: Eukaryota; Metazoa; Arthropoda; Insecta; Coleoptera; Lampyridae
Exons: 2
Source: RefSeq, a predicted model, not a curated record
CUUCAAGUUGGUGGUUCUAAAUUGAGGAUUGAGUUUUGUGUUCAUUACGUGGAUGUAAUCUAUUUUUAAGCGUUUAAUGCAUUUUCAGGUCCACAAAAUGAACAAGUUUUGGAAACAUCGUGGGUGUUCAUAAAUAAUGGAUCAUCUUCAAUUCGUUAGAUGCAUUUUGGUACUGAGUUAAUGAUACGCGCCGAAGAAAUUUUUAAAGCAAUCCUUUGUUUAAGGAUUAUGCCUCGAUUGAUUUUAAAUUUAUUAACGCAUUUGGCUAUUAAGACCGUUUAUAUCAUCUGUUUACCAUAAUGUCAUAAAGUUAGGAUAUAGUUUA